Molecule: long non-coding RNA, 1363 nt
Filed under: Marmota monax (woodchuck)
Lineage: Eukaryota; Metazoa; Chordata; Mammalia; Rodentia; Sciuridae
Source: RNAcentral
UUUGAAUAUCAAAUGUCAGAGUAUGUAAUAUGAUUGAUAUAAAAUAGUAAUAGAUGAAUCAGAUUAACUUCUUUAAUAAUUUUAAAAUAUGAGUUUGAGGACAAUGUUUAUUUUACAAUAUUUAAUUAUUGCAAAUUUUGACAUUUGGAGGUCUAACUCAUUGGACUUCCUUCAUUGACAUCCUCUGUUAUCAUCAUGUAGCAAGUAUAAAUCUCAAUUCUAGGAAUUUAUAAGACAAUGACACAUAAAAAUGUUAAUGUGUCCAGGGUUUACAAAAUACAAAACGACUGGAGAUUCUUGAAAAGAAUUGAGUUUAUAAAUUUUAUGAUUUGGAGAAACUGACUUAUAAUUUAUAUGUAGAAAGGGCCAGAAUAGGAAAUAGGAGAUAAGCUGUCUACGUAUUGACAGUAUCUCACAUAUCAAGUGACGAGGACACAGUAGUUCUGGGAGUAGAAACAGAAAGGAACACUGCAUUUGAAAAAGGAACCAAUUUUUGAUGCCUAUUGAAAGUGGUGAAACGGUGAUGGAAGAGUUAAAAAAAAUAUACACAGUUUUUUAUACAGACCAACCAAAAGAGAUGUUGUGUUGUUCCCAGAUAUAAAGAAAUAAAAAUGAAUUAAAACUUUUGGAGAUUAGAUGAUAAACUUGGUUUGGAAUAUGUUGAGUUUAACACAAUGCAGUUUUCAUUAAAGAUAAAACUACUUUCACCAGUAGGGGUCUCUGAGUAGCAGAAUGUGAGACUAGACUUACUGUGGACAGAGUAAAUUUUUGUAGGUUGUACACCUGGCUUCAAUAUAUGCUGAAAUCCAAAGUAGCAAUGGACCAACAAUGUGUGAGAGUUCCAGUUGCUCCUCAUUCUCACUGGCAUUUAUUGAAUCGUGGGAUACAAAGAAACUAUAGGGCAGUAAGACUACUAUGAAUGGAUACUAGAAUGGUGAAUACAUGUCAUACAUUUGUCUAAGCCUACAAAAUAUGCAAAGCCAAAAGUGAACCCUUUUGGAUGCUAAUGACAUGUUGAUGUAGAUUCCUUUGUAAACAAAUAUAGGACUCUGGUGUUCAAUAAUUGGUAGUGAGUGGGUUGUGUGUAUUUGUAUAGGGCAGAGAAAUCCCUCUAUCUUCUGCUCAAUUUUGCUGUGAACCCCAAACUGGUCUAAAAAUAUAAAGUAUUUAAAACAUGAAGAAACAAACUUAAUCUCAACAAAACAAUUGAUGGAAAGAGACAUCUCAAAAACUAGAGAACCAAUAUCUAGCAUAGUAAUUUAAAUUUUGAAAUUGUUUUGUUCCUUUUGUAAUGAUUAUCUACUAUUCUUUAUCAUCUAAUGAAAAACAGUGUUUUUUUUAGUUUUCUAAUAUUGCUUAUUAG